GGUGUUGAUACAUUGUUAUUAUACUAAUAUUACUUGAUUUGGAUUAUUUCUGGCGGUUUCUUUACUGUUUUCUUGCUAUUCUUUAAGGUUAUAAUGAUAAGUAGAGGGAGGUGUAGAAAACAUUUCUUUUGAAGGAUGGAAGUUUGGACGGCCUAUUUAUAGGCAACCGCUUCUUGCACUUGUUAUUCUUUGCGAUUGUGCACAUCUAUCUCCGAUGUUAAUCUAUUGUUGAUCUAUUACUCUGCAUUCAUUUCCCUAGCGUUCUGGUCCUUCGAUGAUCUGCACUUCCCCUCCCUGCAGUGAUCUACUGUUCAUCGCGCUGCCGUUUGCUUAUGUGCAGUGCUG
RNAcentral lists this long non-coding RNA (345 nucleotides) under Ananas comosus (pineapple). RNAcentral describes it as "long non-coding RNA (ACOM_LNC024507)". The record is from RNAcentral. Lineage: Eukaryota; Viridiplantae; Streptophyta; Magnoliopsida; Poales; Bromeliaceae.